UCAUAGUAGUUUCACCCUAGGGUCCUUUGCACCAUGACCUCAAGCCAAAGAAGCCCCCAGAAGCUUUUUAUACCUGACUCUAACAUUGGGCAAGUUAACGUUAUCAGCUGAUUAGCUUAGUGCAGGCGCUAAUGGAACCAACUGUGUAUUUCGUAAAUUACUCCACUAAUAAUGCCCAAAAUGAUACCAAACUUCAACAGUAGUACAAAUAGGUUAUGUACUCAUACAAUGAUGGAUUGGAAAGUUUGUAAGUACACCAGAAUUUUAUUUAAAUAACACUUGGAUGCUGGCUUCUGCUCUCUGCAGCUACUGCUACCGGCAGUAAGAUGAGUCCACAAAUUACAACACUGAAAAGAGAUACAACAAAAAUAUUAAUUAAUUUAACUUAUUUAUUAAAUGUAAGUGCUGUAGUACAACUAGUAGGAGACAAUUAAUAAUUGAGGUAAGUUUGGAGACACUACCUUAUUUGAUCACUAAAUUAAUAGCCUACAUAUUUUAGUUUUAUCUCUUUUCUGUGUUGUAGUUUGUAGUCGGUCCCGAAGCUCUCCAACUGCCGUCUCAACACUGGAACUAAACAGAGCGGAAUUAGCAGAACCUUCAUGCAUUUCUUUCACUUCUACUGCAAUCAGAUUCACUGGGUUCACUG
This is a long non-coding RNA of Etheostoma spectabile (orangethroat darter), 646 nucleotides long. RefSeq lists it as uncharacterized. The transcript is spliced from 3 exons. The record is from RefSeq and is a predicted model, not a curated record. Lineage: Eukaryota; Metazoa; Chordata; Actinopteri; Perciformes; Percidae.